UCCUGGUUUCCCAGGCAGUCCCAUCAGAGUGCCCCAUAAGGUAGCAACUGAUAGUAGGGGUUGCGCUCGUUAGAGGACUUAACCCAACAUCUCACGACACGAGCUGACGACAGCCAUGCAGCACCUGUGUAUCUGUUUAAACCGAAAUCUAAAAGAUUGCAUUUCUGCAACUGUCAAAUACAUGUCAAGCCCAGGUAAGGUUCCUCGCGUAGUGACGAAUUAAACCACAUGUUCCACCGCUUGUGCGGACCCCCGUCAAUUUCUUUGAGUUUUAAUCUUGCGACCGUACUCCCCAGGCGAAUCACUUAACGCGUUAGCUUCGAUACUAAUCCAGCUAAGCCGAACUAACAUCUAGUGAUUAUCGUUUACAGCGUGGACUAC
This 381-nucleotide unclassified non-coding RNA is filed under the name uncultured bacterium. RNAcentral describes it as "contains 16S-23S intergenic spacer region". The record is from RNAcentral.